UACAGAGGGGGCCAGCGUUAUUCGGAAUUAUUGGGCGUAAAGGGCGCGUAGGCGGCCAUGCGUGUCUUCCGUGAAAUCCCUCGGCUUAACCGAGGACGUGCGGAAGAAACUGCAAGGCUCGAGUCCGGAAGAGGGGGGCGGAAUUCCCAGUGUAGCGGUGAAAUGCGUAGAUAUUGGGAGGAACACCAGUGGCGAAGGCGGUCCCCUGGGCCGGAACUGACACUGAGGCACGAAAGCGUGGGGAGCAAACAGG
This 253-nucleotide ribosomal RNA is filed under the name uncultured bacterium. RNAcentral describes it as "partial 16S ribosomal RNA". It matches the Rfam family "Bacterial small subunit ribosomal RNA", at positions 524 to 776 of the family's 1533-position model. The record is from RNAcentral.